This 497-nucleotide ribosomal RNA is filed under the name uncultured Paraglomus. Its description in RNAcentral is "SSU rRNA". It matches the Rfam family "Eukaryotic small subunit ribosomal RNA", at positions 591 to 1092 of the family's 1831-position model. The record is from RNAcentral. Lineage: Eukaryota; Fungi; Glomeromycota; Glomeromycetes; Paraglomerales; Paraglomeraceae.
CCAAUAGCGUAUAUUAAAGUUGUUGCAGUUAAAAAGCUCGUAGUUGAAUUUCAGGCCUGGCUGGACGGUCCGCCCUUCGGGUGAGUACUGUCUGUGGUCGGGUCCUACCUUCUGGCGAAGCGUCAUGGCCUUAACCGGCCGUGGCGGGGAACCAGGACUUUUACUGUGAAAAAAUUAGAGUGUUCAAAGCAGGCAAUCGCUUGGAUACAUUAGCAUGGAAUAAUGGAAUAGGACAAUGGUUCUAUUUGUUGGUUUCUAGGACCGUUGUAAUGAUUAAUAGGGAUAGUUGGGGGCAUUAGUAUUCAAUUGUCAGAGGUGAAAUGCUUGGAUUUAUUGAAGACUAACUACUGCGAAAGCAUUUGCCAAGGAUGUUUUCAUUAAUCAAGAACGAAAGUUAGGGGAUCGAAGACGAUCAGAUACCGUCGUAGUCUUAACCAUAAACUAUGCCGACUAGGAAUCGGGCGAUGUUGACAAAAUGACGCGCUCGGCACCUCAUG